ACACGCCAUCAACCUCCAGACCCUCUCGCCGUGGCUUAGAGGUGUCUCUGACAACGUGGCACACUGGGAAGGCCUUCUUUCCUGCUACCAAUACAAAUGCAUUCUGAAUUUGAUAUGUCAUUAAAUGUAAAAAUACAGCCAAUUUGAAACAAGCAAAUGGAAAUUCCCAGGAACCAAAAACAGAAAGAAAAAUCAGAGCUACCGCAGUGCUGUCCCUGCAGACAGAAUUUGGGAGAGGUACUCAGAGUCACCUCCUGUGAGCCUAUGCAAGCCAGCUCCUGCACAACCCUGGUUUUAGUCCAGCCUUCUGCAGAAUUCCACAUUAAACAGGAUGAAGAAUAGGUUGUUAGCAGACUGAGGUACUUGGGGCAACAUUUCGUACACAACAGGAGGGAGAAACGACUCCAGAAAAACAAUCAGAUUUUGGUGAAACUGAUGUUUGCAAGUGUGAGUGAGCCCCAUGUGCUGAAGCUUCAGGAACCCCUGAGAUGGCACAAGUUCUGCCGUACUGGGCAACGGAUGGUCUUGAAGCACACAAGACACUGGAAGACAUGAGGGCAAUUGCUACACGCCAAGCCCGGUGCCAAGCACGUUGUGCAGGUUGUUUCGUUGAUUCCGGGCCUGGCCUUUGAGAUCUGUGGAGGAUACCAUGAACUGGCUGGCUCUGCAUCCUGCUUGCAGGCGCUGGCAAGCUGGAACCUGCUUUUCUACGCCACACUGCAGAGGGCCCUGAAUGUGAUCUAUGAUUGCAACAAGCAGCCCUGAUGCGGAUCCGGAGGGCAGGGAUGACGUGGGGGCUGCCUUUCUGGUUGACCUGCUGGUAAGCAUGGCCUCAUGGAUCUAUCACCAACAGCACCCAGUCACUUGGGGAGGCCGAGUGGCAGGGCUGGGGCAUCCAUCAGGGUUUGAUUUUGCUUAUGUGGACCGGCAGGUGCAGCACAGCUGCAUUUUAGUGCAGGGCUUCCUGAUCCUGCUGCACAGCUAACACCGUUCUUCCCGAAGGCAGCAGCUCCCCCACGGGGCUGUUUCCCCAGUUCUGGGCAUCAGUCCCAGAGGCAAAGACGGGAGCCAUCCACUCUGACUCUGCCAACAAUUCUGUGAGCACCCAGUUCUCUGUAUGAAAUUCCUUUCUGCUUUAGAUAAUUAAAAUAACUUUUCUUCCCCUGCAA
RNAcentral lists this long non-coding RNA (1169 nucleotides) under Homo sapiens (human). RNAcentral's name for it is "non-protein coding LINC00929:6". The record is from RNAcentral. Lineage: Eukaryota; Metazoa; Chordata; Mammalia; Primates; Hominidae.